This 285-nucleotide long non-coding RNA is filed under the name Vigna radiata. RNAcentral's name for it is "long non-coding RNA (VRAD_LNC010966)". Lineage: Eukaryota; Viridiplantae; Streptophyta; Magnoliopsida; Fabales; Fabaceae. The record is from RNAcentral.
AAUAAAAUUACAAAAAAACUAAAAACUCUUAACACUUUCUCUUUCAUCUCUUUCACUCCAACCUUUUCUCUCAUUCUCAAAACUAAAAAAAAAAAAAAAAAAAAAAAACCCAAACCCUUACUCACCUCUCUCACUCCUCUCAACCUUUUCUUUUUCAUCUCUCUCACUUCAACCUUUUCUCUCUCAUCCCCCUACUGUAGCCCUAAUUGAAAAAAUCAAAAACAUUUGCCUAACCCUAAUCUACCUUCCUCACAUAUCUAAUUUAUUUCUCUCCCUCAUCCACAC